AACGCUCGCCAGGCGCAGAUUCAUCACAGCAGAAGCGGUUUCGUUUCCCUAUUUUUCAGCGUGGCAGAGGAACCGAGACCAACGAGGACACGUUAUUGUAUUUUGAUUCUUUGUUCCUUAUUUUUUCAUUUAAAAUAAUUCGCUCUGUCACGUUGGCUGUGCUUGUUUUACCAUUUUUAUCCAGUAAGAGGCGCUGGCUAGCUGCUCUGCCCCCACUCUUUGACUCCAUUUAUCCCUCCUCUUUCUCCGUGCCUGCUCGAUAACUUUCCCCGGCCUACGGUUCAUCUUUCCCCGCCACUCAGACGCAGACAUGCCGGAGUACUUGGAGGACCCGUCCGUGCUCACCAAAGACAAGCUGAAGAGCGAGCUGCUGGCUGCUAACGUGGAGCUGCCGAGCGGGAACCCGACCAAAGACGUCUAUGUGCAGCUGUAUCUGAAGAACCUGACCGCGCAAAACCAGACCGACCCCUCCGCCACCACCCUGGACGCCUUCUCCAGCGAUGAGGAGCUCCCGCCGGUCAUACCCACCAGCAGGAGUCGGUCCUCCGGAAGGAAAGCCACAAGGAAAACAGACAAAGUCCGAUCUGAUGAGCUGGAUGUGACCACGCUGACAGACGAGGGUCUGAAGGACGAACUGCUGAAGCAUGGGGUCGACGUCGGGCCGAUUGUUGCAUCCACCCGUAAAGUGUAUGAGAAGAAGCUGCAGAAACUUCUGGACGACGGCCCCAUUCAGGUGACACAGCUGAUCGUCACAGAGAUACAAGUCAACCACAACGGGAACUCUGAAUCUGACCUUUACAGCGACAAAGAGGAUGAAGUGGUACCUGAACCAGAACCUGAACCAGAGCCAGAGCCCGAGCCAGUCCCAGUGGUGGAGAGAACGCUGAGGAGCCGAGGGAAGACGCCUGUCACCACCCGCAGCUCCAGCUCCAGCAGCAAACACCACGUGAGACACCAGCUGAUGGAGGACGAGGAUGCUGAAGAAGAGUCAGUCCUGCAGGUGAAGCGCAGAUCCAGGAGGCUAUCACAGAGAACGAUCAUGCCUGAGGAUCUCAGGCCAUCACUGACCGAUCAGGUUCAGCUGCAACCUAAAAGGCGAGUUUCUCAAAGACUGGACAGUCCAGCUCGAGCUGAACCUCGAUCCACCUCAGACAGAUACACGAAGCUCCAGGAGGAAGAGCUGUCUGUCCGUCCAUCUAAACCAAGUAAGGUUUCCUCUCAUAAACCAGACGUCCUGCUCGACACAGCUCUGAUGGAGGUUGGAUUAAAUCAGAAUCAUGUUUGGGAUCUGCACUGUGGUGAAAUCAUGGUUUAAUGUGAAGCUAUAUUCAAGUAAACUCACUGUGGCAGGAUUGUGUUGAAAGGAUCACAUCAAUACUUUGUCACACAUCUGAUCAGCCCCCACUGUGGUGAUUUAUAAGCCUUGAAUGUGUUACAUUUGGUGGAUUGGUUCCCUGUUGGAUUGCUUUUUUUUAUAUAUAUACAUAUUUUUGGAUCGUUUUUAUGUAAGUCAGCCAAACGGCAGCAGAUUCAGUCUUCAAUUAAUGACAACCAUUAAGCAUUCAGAGCUUUUAAAGAGUUUAAAGUACUAAUCUUCUGACUGUUGAUCUUAAGAGCUAAAACUGGAUUCCUAAAACUUCUGGGUCAUCAGAUCAGAUAUUUUGACCAAAUAAAGAGGAUUACUGAGAGGAGUAAAACUCGCUUUUUGUUCUGUUCAUUGCAGCUUUAAGCUAAUUUGAUUUUUGUCUGAUGGGUUUUGUGUAGUAACUUAGGAAGUAAGCCAUCAAUUAACCCUGCUAAAAAGUUGAUUCCCUGCACAAUUAGGCAUGGUAAUUCAGUGACCAGGCAUGAUUGCCCAGCUCAAAGAAUAAAAUGGGCUCGUGCUAUAUGCUAUGUUUUUUGAAGCAACCUCCUCAAGAAACAUCUCAUGAAGUCCAUGUUAAUUUAAAUCCGAAAUUUGUAUCUUAGCACACAAGGGAUGUUGGAAUAAGGUUGCUGUAAAUAUGUGGAAAUACUGAGAUCUACGUGUGGCUAAAUUUUUGAUUUAGACUGUUAGAAAGUUGUUCGCCACAUUCAUAGCUUGGUUCCUGACAAAAAUAGUGCCCUAACAUGUCCCCGAUCCCCAUGGGGAAUUACCCCACCCCCAAUGCUACAAUGAUAUGAAACCACCAAGCAGUUCAUCUUAAUACAGUCUGCUGUUAGCUGAUGUCACUGCCUUUAUGGAAAGUUAACAGCCAGCUGCAUGCUGUGUUUUUGUAAAUUUUCUAAAUCUAUCAGCCACAGUGGCCUACAGGUUAUUGAAAGUGUCAAAACAGAGAGAUUUGUGCCAGAAAACAGUAAAUUUAUUCCCCAAUUUCUAUCUCUGCUCUGGCCAGAGUUCACAGUAAGGUCAGGGAGAAGGCUAAUAGCUGGAGUGCUUGUCUAGUUCUUACUUGAACCAGAUGCUGCAGGAACAAACAUCUUACCUUCUGAAGGUGUGUUUUAAUCCAUAUUUCACUUUUCUUAAGUCCUGGAUGAUUAAAAGAAGGGGACUGGCUUUGUCUCUCUCUAAGCAGCAAUGGUUUAAUUCCUCCUGCCUGUUAGCCUAGCAGUGCUAAAGUUUAGUAAAGUGUCUGAUGAUAGACACAGUCUAGUCACAAUAAAAGCCUCCAAUGUGAAGCAUCAUUGAAGACUUUUCUUUUCAAGGGGAACAUCAGGAAAUGGAGUGUUUUGUGCCGCAACUUAACAACAAAGACGCCUCAUAAACGUGAGAGAGAAAUAACACAUAACUCAUACAAUGAGAUAUAAUAACUUAAGUGUUAUAUACAGGAUGAGAAAAUUUUAGAGGAUUGUAUUUCUUGUGAGUGGGUGUGGCUUCAGCUCGUUCAACCGACACGCUCACACCACCCUAGAGCAGAUUUUACGGUCUCAUUUUAAUGAUUUUAAAGCUUAAUUUUAUAAACUUCGAGAUGUUUUUAAUGACUGAAAUUUGGCCUGAUGGGCCAUAACACAGUGCCCUGUCAUACAACAAACCUAAAAUACAGAUUUUGUUUUUUAUCACUUUACACAGACUUUAAAGUGGACUUGGUCACAGCGCCCAAGCACAGUAAAUUUAUGUUCACACUGAUCAAACUGAAUAAGACUAAGGUUUGGAUUUCUACUUUGAAAUUACCCUGAAGUUUUUGGGAACCAAAUAGGAAUUUUUUUUUUAUUACAAGACUACUUCAAAGAAUUAGCCUAAACUACAGAGACCACAUGCUCAAAGUGUCAGGGGAACUGCGUAUUGGUGGUUUCUAAAAGUUGCAUUGCAUUUUCAGGCACCAAAAGCACAAUUGUCAUUUUAAUAACCAGCCAAAAUGCCACCACUGGUUACAGUUUUCAGCUGAAGUUAUUCUUGUAUUAACAUGGCCUCAUUUUGCAAAAAUGUCAUUGUAUAGGGCUUUUUUCUCCAGCAGAACUCUGUACAGUAAAGGAUCAAACAAAUAAGUGAGCAGAGAUCUGACUUUGAAAGUAAAGCUUUAGUGAUCAUGCAGAGUUUAAACAUCAGAAUGUGUGACCGGAGAGAGCUGCGCUGAUUUAAACCAUCUGAGUAUCAGGAUCCUGAACCUAGUACUGAACCUCUGAGAGCAGCAGUGAGGAACAAACAUGAGGAGCAGAGUCAGCGCUCGGCUGUUACACCGAUCAAACCAUCCUCUCCUGUGGUGAUCAUCAACCG
Cheilinus undulatus (humphead wrasse) is the source of this 3694-nucleotide RNA transcript. It is a transcript of the gene named thymopoietin a, with no coding region annotated. NCBI's taxonomy places the organism in Eukaryota, Metazoa, Chordata, Actinopteri, Labriformes, Labridae. The record is from RefSeq and is a predicted model, not a curated record. The transcript is spliced from 9 exons.